AGAGUUUGAUCCUGGCUCAGGAUGAACGCUAGCGGCAAGCCUAACACAUGCAAGUCGAACGGUAAGGCUCAGCUUGCUGAGUACACGAGUGGCGCACGGGUGAGUAACGCGUAUACAACUUGCCUUUAACUGGGGAAUAGCUCAGAGAAAUCUGAAUUAAUACCCCAUAACAUCUGAAUUUGGCAUCAUUUUCAGUUCAAAGCUCCGGCGGUUAAAGAUGGGUAUGCGUGACAUUAGCUUGUUGGUAAGGUAACGGCUUACCAAGGCAACGAUGUCUAGGGGGUCUGAGAGGAUGGUCCCCCACACUGGUACUGAGACACGGACCAGACUCCUACGGGAGGCAGCAGUGAGGAAUAUUGGUCAAUGGGCGAAAGCCUGAACCAGCCAUGCCGCGCGCAGGAUGAAUGCCCUACGGGUUGUAAACUGCUUUUAUACAGGAAGAACUCCUUCGAUUCUUCGAGGGCUGACGGUACUGUAUGAAUAAGGAUCGGCUAACUCCGUGCCAGCAGCCGCGGUAAUACGGAGGAUCCAAGCGUUAUCCGGAUUUAUUGGGUUUAAAGGGUGCGUAGGCGGGAUAGUAAGUCAGUGGUGAAAUCUUUCGGCUUAACCGGAAAAUUGCCAUUGAUACUGUUAUUCUUGAGUUCAGUUGAGGUGGGCGGAAUGUGUCAUGUAGCGGUGAAAUGCUUAGAUAUGACACAGAACGCCAAUUGCGUAGGCAGCUCACUAAACUGUUACUGACGCUGAGGCACGAAAGCGUGGGGAGCGAACAGGAUUAGAUACCCUGGUAGUCCACGCUGUAAACGAUGAUUACUAGAUGUAUGCGAUACAGUGUAUGCGUCUGAGUGAAAGCAUUAAGUAAUCCACCUGGGGAGUACGGUCGCAAGAUUGAAACUCAAAGGAAUUGACGGGGGCCCGCACAAGCGGAGGAACAUGUGGUUUAAUUCGAUGAUACGCGAGGAACCUUACCUGGGCUUAAAUGCAGUAUGAUUUUCCAAGAAAUUGGAUUUCCCUUCGGGGCAAAUUGCAAGGUGCUGCAUGGUUGUCGUCAGCUCGUGCCGUGAGGUGUCGGGUUAAGUCCCAUAACGAGCGCAACCCUUAUCGUUAGUUGCCAGCGGGUAAUGCCGGGGACUCUAAUGAAACUGCCAGUGUAAACUGUGAGGAAGGUGGGGAUGACGUCAAAUCAGCACGGCCCUUAUGUCCAGGGCUACACACGUGUUACAAUGGUCGAUACAAAGGGCAGCUACCUGGUGACAGGAUGCUAAUCUCUAAAAUCGAUCUUAGUUCGGAUCGAAGUCUGCAAUUCGACUUCGUGAAGCUGGAUUCGCUAGUAAUCGUAUAUCAGCAAUGAUACGGUGAAUACGUUCCCGGGCCUUGUACACACCGCCCGUCAAGCCAUGGAAGCUGGGGGUACCUAAAGUCCGUAACCGCAAGGAGCGGCCUAAGGUAAAACUAGUAACUGGGGCUAAGUCGUAACAAGGUA
Molecule: ribosomal RNA, 1480 nt
Filed under: metagenome
Description: bacterial SSU rRNA
Rfam family: Bacterial small subunit ribosomal RNA
Source: RNAcentral